AUACGUAGGGAGCGAGCGUUGUCCGGAAUUACUGGGCGUAAAGGGCGCGUAGGCGGCGCUUCAAGUCGUCUGUCAAAUGGGAGGGCUUAACCCUUUUUCGCAGACGAAACUGGAGAGCUUGAGAAGCAGAGAGGCAAACAGAAUUCCUGGUGUAGCGGGGAAAUGCGUAGAUAUCAGGAAGAAUACCAGUGGCGAAGGCGGUUUGCUGGCUGCAUACUGACGCUGAAGCGCGAAAGCCAGGGGAGCGAACGGGAUUAGAUACCCCGGUAGUCCUGGCAGUAAACGAUGUAUGCUGGGUGUGAGACUAGCGAUAGUUUCGUGCCGAAGUUAACGCGAUAAGCAUACCGCCUGGGGAGUACGGUCGCAAGAUUGAAACUCAAAGGAAUUGACGGGG
This 394-nucleotide ribosomal RNA is filed under the name uncultured bacterium. Its description in RNAcentral is "partial 16S ribosomal RNA". It matches the Rfam family "Bacterial small subunit ribosomal RNA", at positions 523 to 918 of the family's 1533-position model. The record is from RNAcentral.